Molecule: long non-coding RNA, 664 nt
Organism: Bos taurus (domestic cattle)
Lineage: Eukaryota; Metazoa; Chordata; Mammalia; Artiodactyla; Bovidae
Source: Ensembl
AAAAUCUGUCACUGUUUUCCCAUCUAUCUGCCACGAAGUGAUGGAACCAGAUACCAUGAUCUUAGUUUUUUGAAUGUUGAGUUUUAACAAGCUUUUUCACUCUCACAUUCAUCAAGAGGCUCUUUAGUUCCUCUUUGCUUUCUGCCAUAAGGGUGGUACCAUCUGCAUAUCUGAGGUUGCUGAUAUUUUUCCCAGCAAUCUUGGUUCCAGCUUGUGCUUUAUCCAGCCCAACAGUUUGCAUGAUGUACUCUUCACAUAAGUUAAAUAAGCAGGGUGACAAUACAGCCUUGACAUACUCCUUUUCCAAUUUUGAACCAGUCUGUUGUUCCAUGGUCGAUUCUAACCAUUGCUUCUUGACCUGCACACAGGUUUCUCAGGAGGCAGUUACACAUCAGAAAGAAGGCCACAGAGACACGGAAUUGCCAGACUCAAUUACUGUGUUACUGACACCAGCCUGUGACUGUCUUUGAAAUAAUGCAAGAGGAAGAAAUCAAGAUGCUAUCAUCUUUGUUCCUUGUCACUGAUUCCUGACAGCCAGCCCUUGCCUUAUGUAAGCCCCUAGACUCCUCAUGGAGGGGUCAGUUCUUGAGGCCUGAGCCUACGCUGUUCCCCUCUCCACCCGCUGAGGACUAAAGCCACCUUUCUAUUUCCUCCAAACUCUCCG